RNAcentral lists this ribosomal RNA (499 nucleotides) under uncultured bacterium. RNAcentral's name for it is "bacterial SSU rRNA". It matches the Rfam family "Bacterial small subunit ribosomal RNA", at positions 29 to 507 of the family's 1533-position model. The record is from RNAcentral.
ACGAACGCUGGCGGCGUGCCUAAUACAUGCAAGUCGAGCGGAAUGAUGAAGAAGCUUGCUUCUUCUGAUUUUAGCGGCGGACGGGUGAGUAACACGUGGGCAACUACCUUGUAGAUUGGGAUAACUCCGGGAAACCGGGGCUAAUACCGAAUAAUCCAUUUUGCUUCAUGGCGAGAUGUUGAAAGACGGUUUCGGCUGUCACUACAAGAUGGGCCCGCGGCGCAUUAGCUAGUUGGUAGGGUAAUGGCCUACCAAGGCGACGAUGCGUAGCCGACCUGAGAGGGUGAUCGGCCACACUGGGACUGAGACACGGCCCAGACUCCUACGGGAGGCAGCAGUAGGGAAUCUUCCACAAUGGACGAAAGUCUGAUGGAGCAACGCCGCGUGAGUGAAGAAGGGUUUUCGGAUCGUAAAACUCUGUUGUAAGGGAAGAACACGUACGAGAGUAACUGCUCGUACCUUGACGGUACCUUAUUAGAAAGCCACGGCUAACUACGUG